GGAGAUUUCCUACAAUAGAGCUGAACGUAGACAAACAGUUACUUAGAGCGUGCGGCAGAAAAAUCGCCACCUGCUGGUGAGCUGGUAAAGUACAGGCCGGUUUUCCCAGUUUUCACUCGGUGAUCGGUUCAAUUACAUGAACAGAAGCUCACAAUAUCACCAGUGACAUGCAGUGAGGGACACCCCCCGCCACCACCUGUACCUGUUUGGCAGAACAUAGCAGAUGCAGGACAAUCUGGAGCUCUGCAGAGACCAGACAGCUCUCCCUCUGGACAGUGGUCACUGCAUUGUCUCUGUACGCGUGAUUGGUGCUCGAGAUGCUGACGGUCAGAAGGCAGUCAGAAGACCGACAGCAGCAUCCCGAUGAUACUAUUUCCAGGAUAAAGAUCAGAGGCUUAAUGGAUACUAUACAGAAACAACGUGGCAAUUGACACUGUGUUGUCUAAGAGUAUAAAAUUGUUGCAAAUAACUGUUUUAAUAUAUGUCUAUCAAUAAAAUCUUUUAUACAAUCCUUUUAUACAA
Molecule: long non-coding RNA, 522 nt
Organism: Pseudophryne corroboree (corroboree frog)
Lineage: Eukaryota; Metazoa; Chordata; Amphibia; Anura; Myobatrachidae
Exons: 4
Source: RefSeq, a predicted model, not a curated record